AGAGAGGAGAGAGAGAGAGAAGAGAGAGGAGAGAGAGAGGAGAGAAGAGAGAGGAGAGUGAGGGAGGAGAGAGAGGGAGGAUAGCUCUACGAUCUGUCCCCCAGCAGCUGGCUGCACCACAGCCAAACCUGUUUAAGAGCUGCCUAGCUGCCAGAGGAAAUCAGUGGUGUGAACGUUAGGGCUAUACAGCCAAUAACACAGAGAGGUAGACCACUAGGCAGGCAGGGAGACCACUAGUCAGAGAGGGAGACCACUAGUCAGGGAGGGAGACCACUAGUCAGGGAGGGAGACCACUAGGCAGGGAGGGAGACCACUAGGCAGGCAAGGAGGAAGGUCACUAGGCAGGCAGGGAGGAAGGUCACUAGGCAGGCAGGGAGGAAGGUCACUAGGCAGGCAGGGAGGGACACCACUAGGCAGGCAAGGAGGAAGGUCACUAGGCAGGCAGGGAGGAAGGUCACUAGGCAGGCAGGGAGGGACACCACUAGGCAGGCAGGGAGGAAGGUCACUAGACUAGGCAGGCAGGGAGGGACACCACUAGGCAGGCAGGGAGGAAGGUCACUAGACUAGGC
Long non-coding RNA from Oncorhynchus tshawytscha (Chinook salmon), 569 nucleotides. The record is from Ensembl. NCBI's taxonomy places the organism in Eukaryota, Metazoa, Chordata, Actinopteri, Salmoniformes, Salmonidae.